Molecule: ribosomal RNA, 479 nt
Filed under: uncultured bacterium
Lineage: Bacteria
Description: partial 16S ribosomal RNA
Rfam family: Bacterial small subunit ribosomal RNA
Source: RNAcentral
GAUGAACGCUGGCGGCGUGCUUAACACAUGCAAGUCGAACGAAGCACUUAAGAUUGAUUCUUCGGAUGACGUCUUUUGUGACUUAGUGGCGGACGGGUGAGUAGCGCGUGGGUAACCUGCCUCACACAGGGGGAUAACAGUUAGAAAUGACUGCUAAUACCGCAUAACCCGAUAGGAUCGCAUGAUCCAGACGGAAAAGAUUUAUCGGUGUGAGAUGGACCCGCGUCUGAUUAGCUAGUUGGUGAGGUAACGGCCCACCAAGGCGACGAUCAGUAGCCGGCCUGAGAGGGUGAACGGCCACAUUGGGACUGAGACACGGCCCAAACUCCUACGGGAGGCAGCAGUGGGGAAUAUUGCACAAUGGGGGAAACCCUGAUGCAGCGACGCCGCGUGAGUGAAGAAGUAUUUCGGUAUGUAAAGCUCUAUCAGCAGGGAAGAAAAUGACGGUACCUGACGAAGAAGCCCCGGCUAACUACGUG